GUCAUAUUUUGGCUAUGUUUGUGUUCGAUCAUACAGUAUAAUAAGUCGGUAGUUGCCCGGGAAUGGAUUUUUUUUUAUUUCUUGUGAUUCUUUGCAGUGGCGUAGCCAAGGUUGAAAUGAUGUGGAUGCUUUCGCCGAGCGGAGCUUGGCGAAAAUAUUUUUGGACUAUUUUAUGCACAAAAUUAUAUUUUUUCAGACAUUGUUCCUGUAAGCAUAUGUACUCCCCUAGAAUCCAACAGUGGUUAGAUUUUUGUUUAAUUUCAAAAUACCCACCAGUUCAUAUAAUUAUAUUUCAAACAAAAUUUAAAUGUUUUCUCGAAAUUCUCGAAAUUGAAUGUAAUUCCUAAUUUGUUUAUUUGAUGUAAAAGUUUCCCACCAAUCUUAUAUUUGACAUCUCUCAUAAACGGCCCCAUCACAGCGGCACUUCUGUAUAAACAUGAUAAAUAAACUGAAGUGAUCCCCUUUCCUAGCAUUUCUAAAAAAAAAUGGCCUUAUUACAUCGGCACUUCGGAAUAUAAGAACUGAAGUGAACCCAUUAACGCGUCGUACGGGACAUCAUCGAAAUACCUGGUGUCCGUCCAUCCGGUCUUGUUUGCACUCUCAUGUGUACAAUUCUUGCCAGAUUUUUAUAUCAUCAGCAAUGACAAUUUCGAAAAUAAGUCAUAAGCUUUGACCUUUUGAAAUAUAAAUUAUACGGAACUCCCAUUGUAUUUUCUCUGAAGCUUUUAUUUCUCCAUUAAAAAUAAAAGGAAAAGGAAAAACAUUAUUUUUUAUUAGUUAUUGCCCUUGUUCCUUGGUUACAUAAAAUAUGUGCAAUGCAGGGGACAAAGGCAUUUUGUUCUUUUAUUGAAAAUAAAAUUAAUACGUGGACCUAGAUAGAAACUUGAAUUUACUGAUAAGCCUAAGAAUGAUCACACUCUAUAACAGAUUAGUUUUUUUUCACGUCGUCUUUCAUGUCACAGGAAACGAUAUCAGGAUAUGGUGGUUUAGUUGUCAGUGUUGUUAGUCAGUUGAAGAAGCCAUCACUCCGCUAGGCUCAAUUUCAGAUGAAACAUGUCCGAGGAUCUGUGCAUCAUCCUCUGCACUGGUCGUAGCCGACGACGUAGUCUUUUUACGAAAAAAAAUAGAGAACACUUUUCUGCGAUUUAUCCAUUUUGUUUUAUUACAUGCACUUAAUUAUCCUUAAUAAAAGACCACGCAUACUUCAUCGGAAAUAAUUGGAUGUUAUCCUCAUAUCUUAACCCUUGUUACAUACGGAUACCUCCGAGUUUAACUGCUGCGAACAUAUCUUUAUUUAUAUUUUUUCCCUGUCAAAAUGAUGUGGAUGCUUGAGCAUCUGAGCAUACAUGCAAGCUACGCCACUGCU
Molecule: long non-coding RNA, 1366 nt
Filed under: Mytilus galloprovincialis (Mediterranean mussel)
Lineage: Eukaryota; Metazoa; Mollusca; Bivalvia; Mytilida; Mytilidae
Source: RNAcentral